CCCCCACGUUCGGAUUGCAGGNUGAAAUUCGCCUGUAUGAAGCCGGAAUUGCUAGUAAUCGCGGAUCAGCAUGCCGCGGUGAAUACGUUCCCGGGCCUUGUACACACCGCCCGUCACACCAUGAGAGUCGGGAACACCCGAAGUCCGUAGCCUAACCGCAAGGGGGGCGCGGCCGAAGGUGGGUUCGAUAAUUGGGGUGAAGUCGUAACAAGGUAUC
Molecule: ribosomal RNA, 217 nt
Filed under: uncultured bacterium
Lineage: Bacteria
Description: partial 16S ribosomal RNA
Rfam family: Bacterial small subunit ribosomal RNA
Source: RNAcentral